UACGAAGGGGGCUAGCGUUGCUCGGAAUCACUGGGCGUAAAGCGCACGUAGGCGGCUUUCUAAGUCAGGGGUGAAAUCCUGGAGCUCAACUCCAGAACUGCCUUUGAUACUGGAGAGCUUGAGUCCGGGAGAGGUGAGUGGAACUCCGAGUGUAGAGGUGAAAUUCGUAGAUAUUCGGGAGAACACCAGUGGCGAAGGCGGCUCACUGGCCCGGUACUGACGCUGAUGUGCGAAAGCGUGGGGAGCAAACAGG
RNAcentral lists this ribosomal RNA (253 nucleotides) under uncultured bacterium. RNAcentral's name for it is "partial 16S ribosomal RNA". It matches the Rfam family "Bacterial small subunit ribosomal RNA", at positions 524 to 776 of the family's 1533-position model. The record is from RNAcentral.